CCCCCCCCCUCCUUUGAGACUCUUUCUUGUCUGGGCCUUUUGGUAACACUAUGUACUCUGAAGUACCUGAAGUUCCUGCAGAGCAUUGGUGACAACUUCUUGACACAGGUGGUGGAGGAGCCAACAAGGAGAGGUGUGCUGCUGGACCUCGUACUAACAAACAAAGAAGGACUGGUGGAAGAUGUGAAGGCUGGGGGCAGCCUUGGCUGCAGUGACCAUGAGAUGGUGGAGUUCAGGAUCCUGCGAGGAGGCAGCAGGGCACCAAGUAGGAUCGCAACCCUAGACUUCAGGAGAGCAAACUUUGGCCUCUUCAGGGACCUACUUGGAGGAAUCCCAUGGGUGAGGGCCCUAGAAGGAAGGGGCAUUCAAGAGAGCUGGUUAAUAUUCAAACAUCACUUCCUCCAGGCUCAAGAGCGGUGCAUCCCUAUGAGUAGGAAGUCAAGCAAAGGAGGGAGGAGACCUGCAUGGAUGAGCAAGGAGCUCCUGGCAAAACUCAACCAGAAGAAGGAAGUCUACAGAAAGUGGAAAGGGGGACAGGCCACUUGGGAGGAAUAUAGGAACGUUGUCAGAGUAAGCAGGGAUGCGACGAGGAAGGCUAAGGCCCGUUUGGAAUUAAAUCUGGCUAGAGAUGUCAAGGACAACAAGAAGGGCUUCUUCAAAUACAUCAGUAGCAAGAGGAAGACUAGGGAAAAUGUGGGCCCUUUGCUGAAUGGGGUGGGUGCCCUGGUGACGAAGGAUGCAGAGAAGGCAGAGUUACUGAAUGCCGCCUUUGCUUCAGUCUUUACUGCUCAGGCCAGCCCUCAGGAACCCCAGACCCUGGAGGCAAGAGAGAAAGUCUGGAGAAAGGAAGACUUUCCCUUGGUGGAGGAGGAGUGGGUUAGAGAUCAUUUAAGCAAACCUGACACCCACAAAUCCAUGGGCCCUGAUGGGAUGCACCCUCGAGUGCUGAGGGAGCUGGCGGAUGUCAUUGCUAAGCCACUCUCCAUCAUCUUUGAAAGGUCAUGGAGAACAGGAGAGGUGCCUGAAGACUGGAAGAAAGCCAAUGUCACCCCAGUCUUCAAAAAGGGCAAGAAGGAGGACCCAGGGAACUACAGGCCAGUCAGCCUCACCUGCAUCCCUGGAAAGGUGAUGGAGCAGCUCAUGCUGGAGGCCAUCUCCAAGCAUGUGGAGGACAAGAAGGUGAUCAGGAGUAGUCAGCAUGGCUUCACCAAGGGGAAAUCAUGCCUAACCAAUCUGAUAGCCUUCUAUGAUGGAAUGCCUGUCUGGGUAGAUGAGGGGAGAGCAGUGGAUGUUGUCUACCUUGACUUCAGCCAGGCUUUUGACACUGUCUCCCAUAGCAUCCUCAUAGACAAGCUCAGGAAGUGUGGGCUAGAUGAGUGGACAGUGAGGAGGACUGAGAACUGGCUGAAUGGUAGAGCUCAGAGAGUUGUGAUCAGUGGUGCAGAGUCUAG
This is a long non-coding RNA of Apteryx owenii (little spotted kiwi), 1451 nucleotides long. Lineage: Eukaryota; Metazoa; Chordata; Aves; Apterygiformes; Apterygidae. The record is from Ensembl.